CCUACGGGUGGCUGCAGUGGGGAAUAUUGGACAAUGGGCGAAAGCCUGAUCCAGCAAUGCCGCGUGAGUGAUGAAGGCCUUAGGGUUGUAAAGCUCUUUUACCCGGGAUGAUAAUGACAGUACCGGGAGAAUAAGCCCCGGCUAACUCCGUGCCAGCAGCCGCGGUAAUACGGAGGGGGCUAGCGUUGUUCGGAAUUACUGGGCGUAAAGCGCACGUAGGCGGCCUUUUAAGUCAGGGGUGAAAUCCCGGGGCUCAACCCCGGAACUGCCCUUGAAACUGGGAGGCUAGAAUCUUGGAGAGGCGAGUGGAAUUCCGAGUGUAGAGGUGAAAUUCGUAGAUAUUCGGAAGAACACCAGUGGCGAAGGCGACUCGCUGGACAAGUAUUGACGCUGAGGUGCGAAAGCGUGGGGAGCAAACAGGAUUAGAUACCCCAGUAGUC
This 440-nucleotide ribosomal RNA is filed under the name uncultured Porphyrobacter sp. RNAcentral's name for it is "bacterial SSU rRNA". It matches the Rfam family "Bacterial small subunit ribosomal RNA", at positions 338 to 795 of the family's 1533-position model. Lineage: Bacteria; Pseudomonadati; Pseudomonadota; Alphaproteobacteria; Sphingomonadales; Erythrobacteraceae. The record is from RNAcentral.